This 2450-nucleotide ribosomal RNA is filed under the name Clostridium tetani. RNAcentral describes it as "partial 23S ribosomal RNA". It matches the Rfam family "Bacterial large subunit ribosomal RNA", at positions 455 to 2925 of the family's 2925-position model. The record is from RNAcentral. Lineage: Bacteria; Bacillati; Bacillota; Clostridia; Eubacteriales; Clostridiaceae.
ACCUCCCAAGGCUAAAUACUAACUGGUGACCGAUAGUGAAGCAGUACCGUGAGGGAAAGGUGAAAAGAACCCCGGGAGGGGAGUGAAAUAGAACCUGAAACCGUAUGCUUACAAACAGUGGGAGCACGUUAAUGUGUGACCGCGUGCUUUUUGUAGAACGAGCCAGCGAGUUACGGUAUGUAGCAAGGUUAAGCACUUAAGGUGCGUAGCCGAAGGGAAACCGAGUCUGAAUAGGGCGACUAGUUGCAUGCCGUAGACCCGAAACCGAGUGACCUAUCCAUGGGCAGGUUGAAGCGGAAGUAAAAUUCCGUGGAGGACCGAACCACGUUGGUGUUGAAAAACCAUGGGAUGACCUGUGGAUAGCGGAGAAAUUCCAAUCGAACUCGGAGAUAGCUGGUUCUCCUCGAAAUAGCUUUAGGGCUAGCGUCUGGUUAUUGAGUAAUGGAGGUAGAGCACUGAAUGGGCUAGGGGCUGACAACAGUUACUGAACCCUAUCAAACUCCGAAUGCCAUAUACUUUUAUCCAGGCAGUCAGACUGCGAGUGAUAAGAUCCGUAGUCGAGAGGGAAACAACCCAGACCAUCAGCUAAGGUCCCAAAGUGUAAGUUAAGUGGAAAAGGAUGUGGGAUUUCUAAGACAACUAGGAUGUUGGCUUAGAAGCAGCCACUCAUUUAAAGAGUGCGUAAUAGCUCACUAGUCAAGAGAUCCUGCGCCGAAGAUGUCCGGGGCUCAAACUUACCACCGAAGCUAUGGAUUCAAUAGAAUGGUAGAGGAGCUUCCUGUAUGGGUAGAAGUCGUAUCGUAAGAAGCGGUGGACUGUACAGGAGUGAGUAUGCUGGCAUGAGUAGCGAGAAAUAAGUGAGAAUCUUAUUGGUCGAAAACCUAAGGUUUCCUGAGGAAGGUUCGUCCGCUCAGGGUUAGUCGGGACCUAAGCCCAGGCCGAAAGGCGUAGGUGAUGGACAAUCGGUUGAUAUUCCGAUACCGCCAACUUUCGUUUGACAAAUGGGGUGACACAGAAGGAUAAGGUAUGCACACUAUUGGAUGUGUGUCUAAGCACUUAGGCGUGCUUGAUUGGCAAAUCCGUCAAGCUAAGCUGAGGUGUUAUGGGGAGCCUAUUUUGGCGAAGUGCCUGAUUCCACACUGUCAAGAAAAGCCUCUAUGGAGAAUGUUGGUGCCCGUACCGCAAACCGACACAGGUAGGUGAGGAGAGAAUCCUAAGACCAUCGGAAGAAUUGCUGUUAAGGAACUAGGCAAAUUGACCCCGUAACUUCGGGAGAAGGGGUGCCAUGGAAACAUGGCCGCAGUGAAUAGGCCCAAGCAACUGUUUAGCAAAAACACAGGUCUCUGCUAAAGCGAAAGCUGAUGUAUAGGGGCUGACGCCUGCCCGGUGCUGGAAGGUUAAAGGGAUCCGUUAGCGUAAGCGAAGCGGUGAACUUAAGCCCCAGUGAACGGCGGCCGUAACUAUAACGGUCCUAAGGUAGCGAAAUUCCUUGUCGGGUAAGUUCCGACCCGCACGAAUGGCGUAAUGACUUGGGCACUGUCUCAACAGCAAAUCCGGCGAAAUUGUAGUGCAAGUGAAGAUGCUUGCUACCCGCGAUAGGACGGAAAGACCCCGUAGAGCUUUACUGUAGCUUAACAUUGAAUUUCGGUAUUGUCUGUACAGGAUAGGUGGGAGACUUAGAAGCAGGAGCGUCAGUUUCUGUGGAGUCAUCCUUGGGAUACCACCCUGAUAGUACUGAAAUUCUAACCGGGGACCAUGAAUCUGGUCACGGGACAUUGUUAGGUGGGCAGUUUGACUGGGGCGGUCGCCUCCUAAAAAGUAACGGAGGCGCCCAAAGGUUCCCUCAGCGCGGUCGGAAAUCGCGCGUAGAGUGUAAAGGCAUAAGGGAGCCUGACUGCGACACAUACAGGUGGAGCAGGGACGAAAGUCGGGCUUAGUGAUCCGGUGGUUCCUCGUGGGAGGGCCAUCGCUCAACGGAUAAAAGCUACCUCGGGGAUAACAGGCUGAUCUCCCCCAAGAGUCCACAUCGACGGGGAGGUUUGGCACCUCGAUGUCGGCUCGUCGCAUCCUGGGGCUGGAGUAGGUCCCAAGGGUUGGGCUGUUCGCCCAUUAAAGCGGCACGCGAGCUGGGUUCAGAACGUCGUGAGACAGUUCGGUCCCUAUCCGUCGCGGGCGUAGGAAAUUUGAAGGGAGCUGUCCUUAGUACGAGAGGACCGGGAUGGACUGACCUCUGGUGCACCAGUUGUCACGCCAGUGGCACAGCUGGGUAGCUAAGUCGGGAAGGGAUAAACGCUGAAAGCAUCUAAGCGUGAAGCCCACCCUAAGAUGAGAUUUCCCAUGACGUAAGUCAAUAAGAUCCCUUGAAGAACACAAGGUUGAUAGGUCAGAGGUGUAAGUGCAGCAAUGUAUUUAGCUGACUGAUACUAAUAGAUCGAAGGCUUGAUCAAAUU